RNAcentral lists this ribosomal RNA (360 nucleotides) under Burkholderia cepacia. RNAcentral's name for it is "bacterial SSU rRNA". It matches the Rfam family "Bacterial small subunit ribosomal RNA", at positions 61 to 422 of the family's 1533-position model. Lineage: Bacteria; Pseudomonadati; Pseudomonadota; Betaproteobacteria; Burkholderiales; Burkholderiaceae. The record is from RNAcentral.
GUCUGAGCGGAUGAAGGGAGCUUGCUCCUGGAUUCAGCGGCGGACGGGUGAGUAAUGCCUAGGAAUCUGCCUGGUAGUGGGGGACAACGUUUCGAAAGGAACGCUAAUACCGCAUACGUCCUACGGGAGAAAGCAGGGGACCUUCGGGCCUUGCGCUAUCAGAUGAGCCUAGGUCGGAUUAGCUAGUUGGUGAGGUAAUGGCUCACCAAGGCGACGAUCCGUAACUGGUCUGAGAGGAUGAUCAGUCACACUGGAACUGAGACACGGUCCAGACUCCUACGGGAGGCAGCAGUGGGGAAUAUUGGACAAUGGGCGAAAGCCUGAUCCAGCCAUGCCGCGUGUGUGAAGAAGGUCUUCGGA